AUACGUAGGGUGCAAGCGUUAAUCGGAAUUACUGGGCGUAAAGCGUGCGCAGGCGGUUUUGUAAGACAGUGGUGAAAUCCCCGGGCUCAACCUGGGAACUGCCAUUGUGACUGCAAGGCUGGAGUGCGGCAGAGGGGGAUGGAAUUCCGCGUGUAGCAGUGAAAUGCGUAGAUAUGCGGAGGAACACCGAUGGCGAAGGCAAUCCCCUGGGCCUGCACUGACGCUCAUGCACGAAAGCGUGGGGAGCAAACAGGAUUAGAUACCCUGGUAGUCCACGCCCUAAACGAUGUCAACUGGUUGUUGGGGAUUUAUUUUCUCAGUAACGAAGCUAACGCGUGAGGUUGACCGCCUGGGGAGUACGGCCGCAAGGUUAAAACUCAAAGGAAUUGACGGGG
Molecule: ribosomal RNA, 395 nt
Filed under: uncultured bacterium
Lineage: Bacteria
Description: partial 16S ribosomal RNA
Rfam family: Bacterial small subunit ribosomal RNA
Source: RNAcentral